This 399-nucleotide ribosomal RNA is filed under the name uncultured bacterium. RNAcentral's name for it is "bacterial SSU rRNA". It matches the Rfam family "Bacterial small subunit ribosomal RNA", at positions 509 to 909 of the family's 1533-position model. The record is from RNAcentral.
CAGCAGCCGCGGUAAUACGUAGGUGGCAAGCGUUGUCCGGAUUUAUUGGGUUUAAAGGGUCCGUAGGCUGAUCUGUAAGUCAGUGGUGAAAUCUCACAGCUUAACUGUGAAACUGCCAUUGAUACUGCAGGUCUUGAGUGAGGUAGAGGUAGCUGGAAUAAGUAGUGUAGCGGUGAAAUGCAUAGAUAUUACUUAGAACACCAAUUGCGAAGGCAGGUUACCAUGUCUCAACUGACGCUGAUGGACGAAAGCGUGGGGAGCGAACAGGAUUAGAUACCCUGGUAGUCCACGCUGUAAACGAUGCUAACUCGUUUUUGGGUUUUUAAGAUUCAGAGACUAAGCGAAAGUGAUAAGUUAGCCACCUGGGGAGUACGAACGCAAGUUUGAAACUCAAAGGAA